AUGAAUGAUGAUCUUCUACUUUUUAAGUAGUUAAGCGUGCAAAAUAAUCUGUCAAUCCACUGAAUCUAUCUAUGUGGAGAAACUCUAUGUCUGCAAACCUGACG
RNAcentral lists this small nucleolar RNA (104 nucleotides) under Cryptosporidium parvum Iowa II. The record is from RNAcentral. Lineage: Eukaryota; Apicomplexa; Conoidasida; Eucoccidiorida; Cryptosporidiidae.